GAUGAACGCUGGCGGCGUGCCUAAUACAUGCAAGUCGAGCGAACGGACGAGAAGCUUGCUUCUCUGAUGUUAGCGGCGGACGGGUGAGUAACACGUGGAUAACCUACCUAUAAGACUGGGAUAACUUCGGGAAACCGUAGCUAAUACCGGAUAAUAUUUUGAACCGCAUGGUUCAAAAGUGAAAGACGGUCUUGCUGUCACUUAUAGAUGGAUCCGCGCUGCAUUAGCUAGUUGGUAAGGUAACGGCUUACCAAGGCAACGAUGCAUAGCCGACCUGAGAGGGUGAUCGGCCACACUGGAACUGAGACACGGUCCAGACUCCUACGGGAGGCAGCAGUAGGGAAUCUUCCGCAAUAGGCGAAAGCCUGACGGAGCAACGCCGCGUGAGUGAUGAAGGUCUUCGGAUCGUAAAACUCUGUUAUUAGGGAAGAACAUAUGUGUAAGUAACUGUGCACAUCUUGACGGUACCUAAUCAGAUAGCCACGGCUAACUACGUG
Molecule: ribosomal RNA, 497 nt
Filed under: uncultured bacterium
Lineage: Bacteria
Description: partial 16S ribosomal RNA
Rfam family: Bacterial small subunit ribosomal RNA
Source: RNAcentral